Punica granatum (pomegranate) is the source of this 1035-nucleotide non-coding RNA. The record is from RefSeq and is a predicted model, not a curated record. Lineage: Eukaryota; Viridiplantae; Streptophyta; Magnoliopsida; Myrtales; Lythraceae.
ACAGCCCCCCCAAGACAUGUCCCUUCUUCCCCGAUCCUCAGCUCUCUCUCUCUCUCUCUCUCUAAACUUGUCGAUCGAUCCCCUAGCUCUCUCUCUCUGUCUCCGAUCCUUCGAUCCACCGUGCAUGUAGUAGCUACGAUCGACGCCGGUGUUCUUCCCCUGCUGUCGUCCUUCUCUCUCUCUAAGCUAGCUUCUCGAUCCGUACUUCUUGUCCGAGCUCGGAGAGCUUUGUAGCUUCUCCACGGAGUGCACUAUGCAGCCGCUCCCGAUCUAGCCACAAUGCGCGAGCUGUGUGCUGUCAUUUCCCUAUUGCUGCCUUCUAGACGCGCGUCCCUAGCUCAGCUGCCCAGCGAGCUGCUGUCUAGCAGCUUUGCCCCUAGCUGCCCCUGCGGCCCCGCUGCACAGACGCCAUCUGGACCACCGCCUGCCCUACUGCCGCGAGCUGCUACCCCUGCCCCAGUUGCACAUGUCGCCGCCGUGACCGUCUCCCGAUCCCUUAGCUACUGCCCCUUGCCCCCUUCCACAAACCGUGACUCUCCUAAGCUCUAGCUACUGCCCUCUGCCCCCGCAUGCAUGACAGAGACACUGGCCUCUAGAAGGCAGAGUUGACCCCGUACAGCUCCGGCACCGCAAGGCACCGGCGAUUGUCCACUUAGGACUAGAUCUGAUUUGGCCGUUCUCCCCGAGCUACUUCCUAGAGUAGACCUCCCCGAUCUCGAUUGCUCUAGUGAUAUAUAUAACCGGAUAUAAAUCACAGGGUUCGUGGAUUGCAUUUUGGAGCGUUCUCCAAUAUUAAGCUUACCAGCGUUCUUCGAUAUUGAGCUCGCGAGGUGGUAGAGGUAUGCUCAAAUUUCGAUAUAUAUUUAAAAUGCAAAGCGAACUGAUUGUUGAUGACCCUAGGUUAGUCACCUUUAUGAAUUAAAUAAUUGUGGAGAAGGAGGAUGGGCUUUGGGGAAGGGUUAUAGCCUUCCCAUUGUGGAUUUGGUUAUGCCUUGUUGAUUGCUACGGACUAAUAAAGACACUAUCAUUCUUGAA